This 1446-nucleotide ribosomal RNA is filed under the name Limosilactobacillus fermentum. RNAcentral describes it as "bacterial SSU rRNA". It matches the Rfam family "Bacterial small subunit ribosomal RNA". The record is from RNAcentral. Lineage: Bacteria; Bacillati; Bacillota; Bacilli; Lactobacillales; Lactobacillaceae.
UGCAGUCGAACGCGUUGGCCCAAUUGAUUGAUGGUGCUUGCACCUGAUUGAUUUUGGUCGCCAACGAGUGGCGGACGGGUGAGUAACACGUAGGUAACCUGCCCAGAAGCGGGGGACAACAUUUGGAAACAGAUGCUAAUACCGCAUAACAGCGUUGUUCGCAUGAACAACGCUUAAAAGAUGGCUUCUCGCUAUCACUUCUGGAUGGACCUGCGGUGCAUUAGCUUGUUGGUGGGGUAACGGCCUACCAAGGCGAUGAUGCAUAGCCGAGUUGAGAGACUGAUCGGCCACAAUGGGACUGAGACACGGCCCAUACUCCUACGGGAGGCAGCAGUAGGGAAUCUUCCACAAUGGGCGCAAGCCUGAUGGAGCAACACCGCGUGAGUGAAGAAGGGUUUCGGCUCGUAAAGCUCUGUUGUUAAAGAAGAACACGUAUGAGAGUAACUGUUCAUACGUUGACGGUAUUUAACCAGAAAGUCACGGCUAACUACGUGCCAGCAGCCGCGGUAAUACGUAGGUGGCAAGCGUUAUCCGGAUUUAUUGGGCGUAAAGAGAGUGCAGGCGGUUUUCUAAGUCUGAUGUGAAAGCCUUCGGCUUAACCGGAGAAGUGCAUCGGAAACUGGAUAACUUGAGUGCAGAAGAGGGUAGUGGAACUCCAUGUGUAGCGGUGGAAUGCGUAGAUAUAUGGAAGAACACCAGUGGCGAAGGCGGCUACCUGGUCUGCAACUGACGCUGAGACUCGAAAGCAUGGGUAGCGAACAGGAUUAGAUACCCUGGUAGUCCAUGCCGUAAACGAUGAGUGCUAGGUGUUGGAGGGUUUCCGCCCUUCAGUGCCGGAGCUAACGCAUUAAGCACUCCGCCUGGGGAGUACGACCGCAAGGUUGAAACUCAAAGGAAUUGACGGGGGCCCGCACAAGCGGUGGAGCAUGUGGUUUAAUUCGAAGCUACGCGAAGAACCUUACCAGGUCUUGACAUCUUGCGCCAACCCUAGAGAUAGGGCGUUUCCUUCGGGAACGCAAUGACAGGUGGUGCAUGGUCGUCGUCAGCUCGUGUCGUGAGAUGUUGGGUUAAGUCCCGCAACGAGCGCAACCCUUGUUACUAGUUGCCAGCAUUAAGUUGGGCACUCUAGUGAGACUGCCGGUGACAAACCGGAGGAAGGUGGGGACGACGUCAGAUCAUCAUGCCCCUUAUGACCUGGGCUACACACGUGCUACAAUGGACGGUACAACGAGUCGCGAACUCGCGAGGGCAAGCAAAUCUCUUAAAACCGUUCUCAGUUCGGACUGCAGGCUGCAACUCGCCUGCACGAAGUCGGAAUCGCUAGUAAUCGCGGAUCAGCAUGCCGCGGUGAAUACGUUCCCGGGCCUUGUACACACCGCCCGUCACACCAUGAGAGUUUGUAACACCCAAAGUCGGUGGGGUAACCUUUUAGGAGCCAGCCGCCUA